This 380-nucleotide long non-coding RNA is filed under the name Chloebia gouldiae (Gouldian finch). Its description in RNAcentral is "Erythrura gouldiae (Gouldian finch) lncRNA (ENSEGOG00005006858.1)". Lineage: Eukaryota; Metazoa; Chordata; Aves; Passeriformes; Passeridae. The record is from RNAcentral.
GCUGGUAUGCCUCAGGUUAUUUGGAUGAACAUGGCAGACACGCUUAAGGAAGCUUGAGCUGCUUCUGCUUCAUCUGCAGAAAGAAAAGCAGUCUUAUCUCCUUUAGAGAACAAGUGUAGGCAGCACUUCUGUGGAGCACUACAAGGCUGCAGAGCCAGUAAAACUCACUGAUGUCCCAGAACAUCAGCUCUGUAACAUGGAGUGAGACUUCUUCCGCUUGACUGCAAGAAAAAUAAGUCAGCCUCCAGUCUUCCUCCUAUCUCCAAACCAAAGCUUCUGCAAGAUCAAUGCCUCAAGCAUGACCUCAGUGGAGCUCUGGAUUUCACUGUAAGAGUUUUGAGCACAUUUCAUUGUCACCACAAAGCUCUAAUCCUCUUGCA